UACGGAGGGGGCUAGCGUUGUUCGGAAUUACUGGGCGUAAAGCGUGCGUAGGUGGUUUGUUAAGUCUGUUGUGAAAGCCCCGGGCUCAACCUGGGAAUGGCAAUGGAUACUGGCAGGCUAGAGUGCGGUAGAGGGUAGUGGAAUUCCCGGUGUAGCGGUGAAAUGCGCAGAUAUCGGGAAGAACACCCGUGGCGAAGGCGGCUCUCUGGGACGGUACUGACGCUGAGACGCGAAAGCGUGGGGAGCGAACAGG
This 253-nucleotide ribosomal RNA is filed under the name uncultured bacterium. RNAcentral describes it as "partial 16S ribosomal RNA". It matches the Rfam family "Bacterial small subunit ribosomal RNA", at positions 524 to 776 of the family's 1533-position model. The record is from RNAcentral.